RNAcentral lists this ribosomal RNA (456 nucleotides) under uncultured Porphyromonadaceae bacterium. RNAcentral's name for it is "bacterial SSU rRNA". It matches the Rfam family "Bacterial small subunit ribosomal RNA", at positions 355 to 810 of the family's 1533-position model. Lineage: Bacteria; Pseudomonadati; Bacteroidota; Bacteroidia; Bacteroidales; Porphyromonadaceae. The record is from RNAcentral.
GGAGGAAUAUUGGUCAAUGGGCGAGAGCCUGAACCAGCCAAGUCGCGUGAAGGAUGAAGGUUCUAUGGAUUGUAAACUUCUUUUAUUCGAGGGUAAAGUGAGGUAUGUAUACCUUAUUGCAAGUAUCGAAUGAAUAAGCAUCGGCUAACUCCGUGCCAGCAGCCGCGGUAAUACGGAGGAUGCGAGCGUUAUCCGGAUUUAUUGGGUUUAAAGGGUGCGUAGGCGGACGAUUAAGUCAGCGGUGAAAGCGUGUGGCUCAACCAUACCACUGCCGUUGAUACUGGUUGUCUUGAGUGUAAACGAGGUAGGCGGAAUGUGAUGUGUAGCGGUGAAAUGCUUAGAUAUGUCACAGAACCCCGAUUGCGAAGGCAGCUUACCAGGAUACAACUGACGCUGAGGCACGAAAGCGUGGGUAUCAAACAGGAUUAGAUACCCUGGUAGUCCCUGAGACUCGAC